AGUGGCGAACGGGUGAGUAACACGUGGGCAAUCUGCCCUUCACUCUGGGACAAGCCCUGGAAACGGGGUCUAAUACCGGAUAACACUCUGUCCCGCAUGGGACGGGGUUAAAAGCUCCGGCGGUGAAGGAUGAGCCCGCGGCCUAUCAGCUUGUUGGUGGGGUAAUGGCCUACCAAGGCGACGACGGGUAGCCGGCCUGAGAGGGCGACCGGCCACACUGGGACUGAGACACGGCCCAGACUCCUACGGGAGGCAGCAGUGGGGAAUAUUGCACAAUGGGCGAAAGCCUGAUGCAGCGACGCCGCGUGAGGGAUGACGGCCUUCGGGUUGUAAACCUCUUUCAGCAGGGAAGAAGCGAAAGUGACGGUACCUGCAGAAGAAGCGCCGGCUAACUACGUGCCAGCAGCCGCGGUAAUACGUAGGGCGCAAGCGUUGUCCGGAAUUAUUGGGCGUAAAGAGCUCGUAGGCGGCUUGUCACGUCGGAUGUGAAAGCCCGGGGCUUAACCCCGGGUCUGCAUUCGAUACGGGCUAGCUAGAGUGUGGUAGGGGAGAUCGGAAUUCCUGGUGUAGCGGUGAAAUGCGCAGAUAUCAGGAGGAACACCGGUGGCGAAGGCGGAUCUCUGGGCCAUUACUGACGCUGAGGAGCGAAAGCGUGGGGAGCGAACAGGAUUAGAUACCCUGGUAGUCCACGCCGUAAACGUUGGGAACUAGGUGUUGGCGACAUUCCACGUCGUCGGUGCCGCAGCUAACGCAUUAAGUUCCCCGCCUGGGGAGUACGGCCGCAAGGCUAAAACUCAAAGGAAUUGACCGG
RNAcentral lists this ribosomal RNA (811 nucleotides) under Streptomyces sp. Its description in RNAcentral is "bacterial SSU rRNA". It matches the Rfam family "Bacterial small subunit ribosomal RNA", at positions 94 to 917 of the family's 1533-position model. The record is from RNAcentral. Lineage: Bacteria; Bacillati; Actinomycetota; Actinomycetes; Kitasatosporales; Streptomycetaceae.